This 253-nucleotide ribosomal RNA is filed under the name uncultured bacterium. Its description in RNAcentral is "partial 16S ribosomal RNA". It matches the Rfam family "Bacterial small subunit ribosomal RNA", at positions 524 to 776 of the family's 1533-position model. The record is from RNAcentral.
GACGUAGGGCGCGAGCGUUGUCCGGAUUUAUUGGGCGUAAAGAGCUCGUAGGCGGCUUGUUACGUCGACUGUGAAAACCCGCGGCUCAACUGCGGGCCUGCAGUCGAUACGGGCAGGCUAGAGUUCGGUAGGGGAGACUGGAAUUCCUGGUGUAGCGGUGAAAUGCGCAGAUAUCAGGAGGAACACCGAUGGCGAAGGCAGGUCUCUGGGCAUUAACUGACGCUGAGGAGCGAAAGCAUGGGGAGCGAACAGG